Arachis ipaensis is the source of this 153-nucleotide non-coding RNA. NCBI's taxonomy places the organism in Eukaryota, Viridiplantae, Streptophyta, Magnoliopsida, Fabales, Fabaceae. The record is from RefSeq and is a predicted model, not a curated record.
UAAAACUUAAAUAAAACAUGCUAAAAACUAUAUGAAAAUAAUGCCAAAGAGCGUAUAGAAUAUCCACUCUUCACAACACCAAACUUAAACUAUUGCUUGUCCCCAAGCAACUAAAACAAAGUAGGAUUAAAAGAAGACUAAUAGUUUGAGAAG